RNAcentral lists this long non-coding RNA (201 nucleotides) under Capsicum annuum. Its description in RNAcentral is "long non-coding RNA (CANN_LNC015426)". The record is from RNAcentral. Lineage: Eukaryota; Viridiplantae; Streptophyta; Magnoliopsida; Solanales; Solanaceae.
UGGAAAAGUGUAACAUGGAUGUAGUGAUAUUGAAGAACUAAUAACAGUUAUAUUUUUCUGUAAUGUUAAUACUAUUUUUGAUGGAAUCAUAGUCGAUUAAACAACACGCCAACUUAAAUUCGACCAGCAGGGUAAUGAUACACUAUGCAUACGGUAUAUGAAAUAUUAAGUAUACAUUCUAUGAUAUCAAGUAUACACUGU